This 450-nucleotide ribosomal RNA is filed under the name uncultured bacterium. RNAcentral's name for it is "partial 16S ribosomal RNA". It matches the Rfam family "Bacterial small subunit ribosomal RNA", at positions 338 to 795 of the family's 1533-position model. The record is from RNAcentral.
CCUACGGGUGGCAGCAGUCGAGAAUCUUUCACAAUGGGGGCAACCCUGAUGGAGCGGCGCCGCGUGGAGGAUAAGGUCUUCGGAUUGUAAACUCCUGUCAUGCGAGAACAAGGUUGCAGGGCUAACACCUUUGCAAAUUGAUGGUACCGCAAGAGGAAGAGACGGCUAACUCUGUGCCAGCAGCCGCGGUAAUACAGAGGUGGCAAGCGUUGUUCGGAAUCGCGCGUAGGUGACGUGGCAAGUGUGGUGUGAAAGCCCGGGGCUCAACCUCGGAAUUGCAUCCGAUACUGCCAUGCUGGAGUACUGAAGAGGUGACUAGAAUUCUAGGUGUAGCAGUGAAAUGCGUAGAUAUCUAGAGGAAUACCAACGGCGAAGGCAGGUCACUGGGCAGUUACUGACACUGAGGCACGAAGGCCAGGGGAGCAAACGGGAUUAGAUACCCCUGUAGUC